RNAcentral lists this ribosomal RNA (497 nucleotides) under uncultured bacterium. Its description in RNAcentral is "partial 16S ribosomal RNA". It matches the Rfam family "Bacterial small subunit ribosomal RNA", at positions 29 to 507 of the family's 1533-position model. The record is from RNAcentral.
AAUGAACGCUGGCGGCAUGCCUAACACAUGCAAGUCGAGCGACAGCACAGUAAGCUCGUGUCCUUACUGGUGGCGAGUGGCGGGCGAGUAACACGUGCAUAGCCUACUUCUAUUUCUGGGGGAAUAUCGGGAAACAGCUGAUAAUACCAGAUCAUACUUUCUACGGGUUGGAUCAGAGGUUAUAGGGGGCCUUCGCGUCACAAUGAGCUGGAGUCGGGCUGGAUUAGCUAGUUGGUAAGGUAACGGCAAACCAAGGCAACGAUGCAUAGCUGAGCUGAGAGGGUGAUCAGCCACACUGGAACUGAGACACGGUCCAGACUCCUACGGGAGGCAGCAGUAGGGAAUCUUCGACAAUGGGCGAAAGCCUGACGGAGCAACACCGCGUGAGUGACGAAGGUCUUCGGGUCGUAAAGCUCUGUUGUUGGGAAAGAAGAGAUGUGUGAUAAACUCUGGAUGUCUUGACGGUACCUAAAGAGAAAGCCCCGGCUAACUUCGUG